AGUGAACGCUGGCGGUAGGCCUAACACAUGCAAGUCGAACGGCAGCACAGGAGAGCUUGCUCUCUGGGUGGCGAGUGGCGGACGGGUGAGGAAUACAUCGGAAUCUGCCCAGUCGUGGGGGAUAACGUAGGGAAACUUACGCUAAUACCGCAUACGACCUUCGGGUGAAAGAGGGGGAUCGCAAGACCUCUCGCGAUUGGAUGAGCCGAUGUCGGAUUAGCUAGUUGGCGGGGUAAUGGCCCACCAAGGCGACGAUCCGUAGCUGGUCUGAGAGGAUGAUCAGCCACACUGGAACUGAGACACGGUCCAGACUCCUACGGGAGGCAGCAGUGGGGAAUAUUGGACAAUGGGCGCAAGCCUGAUCCAGCCAUACCGCGUGGGUGAAGAAGGCCUUCGGGUUGUAAAGCCCUUUUGUUGGGAAAGAAAUCUUUCAGGCUAAUACCCUGGGAGGAUGACGGUACCAAAAGAAUAAGCACCGGCUAACUUCGUG
RNAcentral lists this ribosomal RNA (490 nucleotides) under uncultured bacterium. Its description in RNAcentral is "partial 16S ribosomal RNA". It matches the Rfam family "Bacterial small subunit ribosomal RNA", at positions 29 to 507 of the family's 1533-position model. The record is from RNAcentral.